RNAcentral lists this ribosomal RNA (198 nucleotides) under uncultured bacterium. RNAcentral's name for it is "partial 16S ribosomal RNA". It matches the Rfam family "Bacterial small subunit ribosomal RNA", at positions 328 to 539 of the family's 1533-position model. The record is from RNAcentral.
ACGCUCGACACCUACGGGAGGCAGCAGUUGGGAAUAUUGGACAAUGGAGGAAACUCUGAUCCAGUGACGCCGCGUGAAGGAAGAAGGUCUUCGGAUUGUAAACUUAUUUUGUCAGGGAAGAAAAAUGACUGUACCUGAAGAAAAAGCACCGGCUAACUACGUGCCAACAGCCGCGGUAAUCUGAGCGGCUGGCAAGGC